Long non-coding RNA from Bos taurus (domestic cattle), 470 nucleotides. Lineage: Eukaryota; Metazoa; Chordata; Mammalia; Artiodactyla; Bovidae. The record is from Ensembl.
GGCCCGCCCACUGCGAAAGUUUCCGAGCUAACUCGGGCCGUGCUGCCCAGACUGAACCCUUGCACGCCACGGCACACCCACAAGGCGUCCGGGUUGCUGUGCCCGGCUGCAAGCCCACGGGCGAGGCUCAAGACGACCUUUCACCCACUACUCUGGCCCCAGGCUCCCCAACUUCAGAUUUAUUAUCACUGCUCUUGCAAUAUUAACUGACACGGUGCCCCACCUCUGUCCCAUCGCUAUCUUCUUGUGUGACCCUGUGAGGCCCACAGAAGAACGAAGGAGCCAGGCAUCCAGCAGCACUAGCUUUGCUCCAGGCUCAGUUUGGGGGGCUUUCACAUGUUUUUCAUUUCACCCCCAAUAACCCUGUGAGGCAGGUAGCUUUGGGUUCAUCUUUCUUGAUGAGAAGAUUGAGGCUCAGGCAUAGAAGGUUUAUUUGUCCAGAGUCAUACAGAAUUCUUUCCCCCAUACAG